This 23-nucleotide unclassified non-coding RNA is filed under the name Mus musculus (house mouse). RNAcentral describes it as "oocyte_clustered_small_RNA7502". Lineage: Eukaryota; Metazoa; Chordata; Mammalia; Rodentia; Muridae. The record is from RNAcentral.
UGUCCAGUACUGCACUGAAGCUG